UUAAGCGACUAAGCGUACACGGUGGAUGCCCUGGCAGUCAGAGGCGAUGAAGGACGUGCUAAUCUGCGAUAAGCGUCGGUGAGGUGAUAUGAACCGUUAUAACCGGCGAUUUCCGAAUGGGGAAACCCAGUGUGUUUCGACACACUAUCAUUAACUGAAUCCAUAGGUUAAUGAGGCAAACCGGGGGAACUGAAACAUCUAAGUACCCCGAGGAAAAGAAAUCAACCGAGAUUCCCCCAGUAGCGGCGAGCGAACGGGGAGGAGCCCAGAGCCUGAAUCAGUGUGUGUGUUAGUGGAAGCGUCUGGAAAGGCGCGCGAUACAGGGUGACAGCCCCGUACACAAAAAUGCACAUAUUGUGAGCUCGAUGAGUAGGGCGGGACACGUGGUAUCCUGUCUGAAUAUGGGGGGACCAUCCUCCAAGGCUAAAUACUCCUGACUGACCGAUAGUGAACCAGUACCGUGAGGGAAAGGCGAAAAGAACCCCGGCGAGGGGAGUGAAAAAGAACCUGAAACCGUGUACGUACAAGCAGUGGGAGCCUCUUAAUGGGGUGACUGCGUACCUUUUGUAUAAUGGGUCAGCGACUUAUAUUCUGUAGCAAGGUUAACCGAAUAGGGGAGCCGAAGGGAAACCGAGUCUUAACUGGGCGUUAAGUUGCAGGGUAUAGACCCGAAACCCGGUGAUCUAGCCAUGGGCAGGUUGAAGGUUGGGUAACACUAACUGGAGGACCGAACCGACUAAUGUUGAAAAAUUAGCGGAUGACUUGUGGCUGGGGGUGAAAGGCCAAUCAAACCGGGAGAUAGCUGGUUCUCCCCGAAAGCUAUUUAGGUAGCGCCUCGUGAAUUCAUCUCCGGGGGUAGAGCACUGUUUCGGCAAGGGGGUCAUCCCGACUUACCAACCCGAUGCAAACUGCGAAUACCGGAGAAUGUUAUCACGGGAGACACACGGCGGGUGCUAACGUCCGUCGUGAAGAGGGAAACAACCCAGACCGCCAGCUAAGGUCCCAAAGUCAUGGUUAAGUGGGAAACGAUGUGGGAAGGCCCAGACAGCCAGGAUGUUGGCUUAGAAGCAGCCAUCAUUUAAAGAAAGCGUAAUAGCUCACUGGUCGAGUCGGCCUGCGCGGAAGAUGUAACGGGGCUAAACCAUGCACCGAAGCUGCGGCAGCGACACUAUGUGUUGUUGGGUAGGGGAGCGUUCUGUAAGCCUGUGAAGGUGGCCUGUGAGGGUUGCUGGAGGUAUCAGAAGUGCGAAUGCUGACAUAAGUAACGAUAAAGCGGGUGAAAAGCCCGCUCGCCGGAAGACCAAGGGUUCCUGUCCAACGUUAAUCGGGGCAGGGUGAGUCGACCCCUAAGGCGAGGCCGAAAGGCGUAGUCGAUGGGAAACAGGUUAAUAUUCCUGUACUUGGUGUUACUGCGAAGGGGGGACGGAGAAGGCUAUGUUGGCCGGGCGACGGUUGUCCCGGUUUAAGCGUGUAGGCUGGUUUUCCAGGCAAAUCCGGAAAACCAAGGCUGAGGCGUGAUGACGAGGCACUACGGUGCUGAAGCGACAAAUGCCCUGCUUCCAGGAAAAGCCUCUAAGCAUCAGGUAACAUCAAAUCGUACCCCAAACCGACACAGGUGGUCAGGUAGAGAAUACCAAGGCGCUUGAGAGAACUCGGGUGAAGGAACUAGGCAAAAUGGUGCCGUAACUUCGGGAGAAGGCACGCUGAUAUGUAGGUGAAGCGACUUGCUCGUGGAGCUGAAAUCAGUCGAAGAUACCAGCUGGCUGCAACUGUUUAUUAAAAACACAGCACUGUGCAAACACGAAAGUGGACGUAUACGGUGUGACGCCUGCCCGGUGCCGGAAGGUUAAUUGAUGGGGUUAGCGGUAACGCGAAGCUCUUGAUCGAAGCCCCGGUAAACGGCGGCCGUAACUAUAACGGUCCUAAGGUAGCGAAAUUCCUUGUCGGGUAAGUUCCGACCUGCACGAAUGGCGUAAUGAUGGCCAGGCUGUCUCCACCCGAGACUCAGUGAAAUUGAACUCGCUGUGAAGAUGCAGUGUACCCGCGGCAAGACGGAAAGACCCCGUGAACCUUUACUAUAGCUUGACACUGAACAUUGAGCCUUGAUGUGUAGGAUAGGUGGGAGGCUUUGAAGUGUGGACGCCAGUCUGCAUGGAGCCGACCUUGAAAUACCACCCUUUAAUGUUUGAUGUUCUAACGUUGGCCCGUAAUCCGGGUUGCGGACAGUGUCUGGUGGGUAGUUUGACUGGGGCGGUCUCCUCCUAAAGAGUAACGGAGGAGCACGAAGGUUGGCUAAUCCUGGUCGGACAUCAGGAGGUUAGUGCAAUGGCAUAAGCCAGCUUGACUGCGAGCGUGACGGCGCGAGCAGGUGCGAAAGCAGGUCAUAGUGAUCCGGUGGUUCUGAAUGGAAGGGCCAUCGCUCAACGGAUAAAAGGUACUCCGGGGAUAACAGGCUGAUACCGCCCAAGAGUUCAUAUCGACGGCGGUGUUUGGCACCUCGAUGUCGGCUCAUCACAUCCUGGGGCUGAAGUAGGUCCCAAGGGUAUGGCUGUUCGCCAUUUAAAGUGGUACGCGAGCUGGGUUUAGAACGUCGUGAGACAGUUCGGUCCCUAUCUGCCGUGGGCGCUGGAGAACUGAGGGGGGCUGCUCCUAGUACGAGAGGACCGGAGUGGACGCAUCACUGGUGUUCGGGUUGUCAUGCCAAUGGCACUGCCCGGUAGCUAAAUGCGGAAGAGAUAAGUGCUGAAAGCAUCUAAGCACGAAACUUGCCCCGAGAUGAGUUCUCCCUGAGACUUAGAGUCUCCUGAAGGAACGUUGAAGACGACGACGUUGAUAGGCCGGGUGUGUAAGCGCAGCGAUGCGUUGAGCUAACCGGUACUAAUGAACCGUGAGGCUUAACCUU
RNAcentral lists this ribosomal RNA (2902 nucleotides) under Escherichia coli KTE126. RNAcentral describes it as "bacterial LSU rRNA". It matches the Rfam family "Bacterial large subunit ribosomal RNA". The record is from RNAcentral. Lineage: Bacteria; Pseudomonadati; Pseudomonadota; Gammaproteobacteria; Enterobacterales; Enterobacteriaceae.